Molecule: ribosomal RNA, 460 nt
Filed under: uncultured bacterium
Lineage: Bacteria
Description: partial 16S ribosomal RNA
Rfam family: Bacterial small subunit ribosomal RNA
Source: RNAcentral
CCUACGGGGGGCAGCAGUGAGGAAUAUUGGUCAAUGGACGAGAGUCUGAACCAGCCAAGUAGCGUGAAGGAUGACUGCCCUAUGGGUUGUAAACUUCUUUUAUAUGGGAAUAAAAUGUUCCACGUGUGGGAUUCUGUAUGUACCAUCUGAAUAAGGAUCGGCUAACUCCGUGCCAGCAGCCGCGGUAAUACGGAGGAUCCGAGCUUUAUCCGGAUUUAUUGGGUUUAAAGGGGGCGUAGGUGGAUUGUUAAGUCAGUUGUGAAAGUUUGCGGUUCAACGGUAAAAUUGCAGUUGAAACUGGCAGUCUGGAGUGCAGUAGAGGUGGGCGGAAUGCGUGGUGUAGCGGUGAAAUGCUUAGAUAUCACGAAGAACUCCGAUUGCGAAGGCAGCUCACUGGACUGCAACUGACACUGAGGCUCGAAAGUGUGGGUAUCAAACAGGAUUAGAUACCCUUGUAGUC